UCCCAGUUGGCUCAGUGUUACGUAGAGAAUCUGCCUACAAUUCAGGAGACCUGGGUUCAAUCCCUGGGUUGGGAA
RNAcentral lists this transfer RNA (75 nucleotides) under Bos taurus (domestic cattle). It matches the Rfam family "tRNA". From Rfam's summary of the family: Transfer RNA (tRNA) molecules are approximately 80 nucleotides in length. Their secondary structure includes four short double-helical elements and three loops (D, anti-codon, and T loops). RNAcentral also lists the same sequence under 3 other names. Lineage: Eukaryota; Metazoa; Chordata; Mammalia; Artiodactyla; Bovidae. The record is from Rfam by way of RNAcentral.